This is a long non-coding RNA of Protopterus annectens (West African lungfish), 279 nucleotides long. RefSeq lists it as uncharacterized. NCBI's taxonomy places the organism in Eukaryota, Metazoa, Chordata, Ceratodontiformes, Protopteridae. The record is from RefSeq and is a predicted model, not a curated record. The transcript is spliced from 2 exons.
GGAGUUUUGGCACACACAAUAUUAGGGGUUACUUGGGAUGAAACUACAGGACAAACCAAAUUCCUUAUUCUGGAUCCACACUACACUGGCGAUGAAGACCUGCAAGUUAUUCUGGAAAAGGGCUGGUGUGGGUGGAAAGGCCCAGACUUUUGGGAUCCAAAUGCAUAUUACAAUCUAUGCCUGCCUCAAACACCAAAGGUUAUUUAGUGAUUCUUUGUAUGCAUCUGUAUAUGUGUAUAUCAACUAUCAUUUUAAUAAAAUUUGAUAUUAUAAACUGCA